UAGGGAAUCUUCCACAAUGGACGAAAGUCUGAUGGAGCAACGCCGCGUGCAGGAUGAAGGCCUUCGGGUUGUAAACUGCUUUUAUGGGUGACGAUUAUGACGGUAACCCAUGAAUAAGGAUCGGCUAAUUCCGUGCCAGCAGCCGCGGUCAUACGGAAGAUCCGAGCGUUAUCCGGAAUUACUGGGCGUAAAGAGAUGCGUAGGUGGUAAGUUAAGCGAAUAGUGAAAUCAUCCGGCUCAACCGGGUGACUGUUAUUCGAACUGACUCGCUAGAGUACGAGAGAGGAAGCUGGAAUUCCUGGUGUAGGAGUGAAAUCCGUAGAUAUCAGGAGGAACACCAAUGGCGAAGGCAGGCUUCUGGCUCGUUACUGACACUGAGGCUCGAAAGCGUGGGGAGCGAACGGGAUUAGAUACCCCCGUAGUCC
Molecule: ribosomal RNA, 425 nt
Filed under: uncultured prokaryote
Description: bacterial SSU rRNA
Rfam family: Bacterial small subunit ribosomal RNA
Source: RNAcentral